CUAUCGUCGCCUAGAAACGUAACCUUUUUCGAAGUCACUUUCGAGUAGAAGUCAGGCAUUGCACUUUGUGAUAUAAAUGUCCAGACAACGUAAGUUUCAUUACUUCUUAAGAAACAAACUUUUAAUAACAUUUAAAUAUAAUUUUAUACAAUUUUGGUCAACGAAAAACAGUUGUAUGUAGUUAAUUGUUUUUUAUUUUUUUAUUGUAUUUUUUUUUUUAUCAAGUUUUAACUAUGCAUGCUUCUUUCUAGACCGAUGAUCAAUUUAGCUGAAUAAACUUCUGGUUUAUAACUAAUAAACUUGUACAAGUUACUUUACAAAUUACUUUUAUUAUAUCACGGUACUGAAGCCGUUUUCGACAUCAACUCAGAUAUUUCAAGCGAGAAGGUUAAUAAUUUCUAAAAGAAGUUAUGAACCGUCAUUGUGUCAGCUAUCGCACAAUGGCAUACAGUGUCAUCAUCAAUUAAUGAAAUUAAACACAAAAUGUUGUCUUAAAACAAACUAGAGGCUCUCAAGAGCCUGUGUCGAUCACCUUGGUCUAUGUGCAUAUUAAACAAUGGACACAGAUAAAUUCAUGACAUAAUUGUGUUUUGGUGAUGGUGAUGUGUUUGUAGAUCUUACUUUACUGAACAUUCUUGUUGCUACAAUUAUCUCUAUCUAUAAUGAACUUGGCCCAGUAAUUACAGUGGAAAAUAUUUUCUAAAAAUUUACAAAAAAUUAUGAAAAAUGCUAAAAAUUAACUAUAAAGGGCAAUAACUCCUUAAGGGGUCAAUUGACUAUUUUGGUCAUGAAACUUAUUUGUAGAUCUUGUUUUGCUGAACAUAAUUGUUGUUCACAGUUUAUCUCUAUCUAUAAUAAUAUUCAAGAUAAUACAAAAACAGCAAAAUUUUCCUUAAAAUUACCAAUUCAGGGCAGUAACCUAACAACGGGUUGUCCGAUCCAUGUUAAAAUAUCAGGGCAGAUAGAUCUUGACCUGGUAGACAAUUUAACCCUGUCAGAUUUUCUCUAAAUGCUUUGGUUUUUGAGUUAUAAGCCAAAAACUGCAUUUUACCCCUAUGUUCUAUUUUUAGCCGUGGCAGCCAUUUUAGUUGGACACCGGACAUAUUUUUUUAAAUUAGAUACCCCAAAGAUGAUUGUGGCCAAGUUUGGAUUAAUUUGGCCCAGUAGUUUCAGAGGAGAAGAUUUUUGUAAAAGAUUUCUAAGAUUUACGAAAAAUGGUUAAAAAUUGACUAUAAAGGUCAAUAACUCCUAAAGGCGUCAACUGACCAUUUUGGUCAUGUGGACUUAUUUGUAAAUCUAACUUUGCUGAACAUUAUUGCUGUUUACAGUUUAUCUCUAUCUAUAAUAAUCUUCAAGAUAAUAACCAAAAACAGCAAAAAAUCCCUAAAAUUACCAAUUCAGGGGCAGCAACCCAACAACGGGUUGUCGGAUUCAUCUGAAAAUUUGAGGGCAGAAAGAUCUUGACCUGAUAAACAAUUUUACCCCUGUCAGAUUUGCUCUAAAUGCUUUGGUUUUUGAGUUAUAAGCCAAAAACUGCAUUUUACCCCUAUGUUCUAUUUUUAGCCAUGGCGGCCAUUUUGGUUGGUUGGUCGGGUCACGCCACACAUUUUUAAACUAGAUACCCCAAUGAUGAUUGUGGCCAAGUUUGGUUUAAUUUGGCCCAGUAGUUUCAGAGGAAAAGAUUUUUGUAAAAGUUAACGACGACGACGACGGACGACGGACGCCAAGUGAUGGGAAAAGCUCACUUGGCCCUUCGGGCCAGGUGAGCUAAAAAUCAAUUUCAAGAAACAUGAUCAGUAAAGAAGUCAAGACAAAGAGUGCAUGCUUUCUUUUAUUAUUACUUUUAGUCCUUCCACUAUUCUAAAUUGCUCAUUGGUUUUCAAUUAAUGAAUAUAUACUUCUAAUUUAUACUUUCAGAAUAAAGAAAUGGACACAUUAUUGUGUCCAGUAAUAAGUUGGGUUGUUGAAUUGUGUGUUAGCGCGGGAAAAGGAGAAGAUGGCAAAUAAAUCUGAUAGAAACUUGAAUAAAUCAACCAGUUCAGAGAGACAGUUAAAAGGAAUAUUGAAAUUUCGUCUUCGGAAAAAUAAAAACCACGGAAUGAAGCGACUAAAAGACAGAAUAAAAACAUUUUAUUCUAAGCGUAAUAGACAAAAUCAUAGAUCUUCAAAAUCAAACAGUGGCAAGAAAUCUAAAAAGAAAGAGAAAAAGAUUAAAACAAAAAAAAGCAAAGGAGGCGAUGAAUUUGACGACAUUUGUCUACCGAGAAUAACAACAAAAGGAUUUUUAGAGGAAGAAGCUGAGCUGUUUGACACCAAAAAAUCAGUGACAUUUAGAGUACCUCUAAAAAGAUACAAAAAAGCCAAAAUACCGAACAUUUAUUAAAUUUCAAGCAUUUACUUUUGGUCAAAAAUUGUAAGUGCUCAAAAUUGCAGUAUAAACGUUGUAAAAAUUAUAAAACUCAGAUUAUGUGUCAAAUAAAGCAUUUUAUCCUA
This 2493-nucleotide long non-coding RNA is filed under the name Mytilus galloprovincialis (Mediterranean mussel). The record is from RNAcentral. Lineage: Eukaryota; Metazoa; Mollusca; Bivalvia; Mytilida; Mytilidae.